UGGGGUAUUCAGCACAAUGGGGGAAACCCUGAUGCAGCGACGCCGCGUGAUUUAGAAGGCCUUCGGGUUGUAAAAAUCUUUUCUAUGGGAAGAAAAUGACAGUACCAUAGGAAUAAGGACCGGCUAAUUACGGGACAGCAGCCGCGGUAAUACGUAAGGUCAGAGCGUUGUCCGGAAUCAUUGGGCGUAAAGGGUACGUAGGCGGGUAAGCAAGUUAGAAGUGAAAUCCUAUAGCUCAACUAUAGUAAGCUUUUAAACCUACUCAACUUGAGGUAUGGAAGGGAAAGUGGAAUUCCUAGUCUAGCGGUGAAAUGCGCAGAUGUUAGGGGGAGUACCAGUGGCGAAGGCGACUUUCUGGCCAUAACCUGACGCUGCGCUACGAAAGCGUGGUUAGCAAACAGG
Molecule: ribosomal RNA, 402 nt
Filed under: bacterium
Lineage: Bacteria
Description: partial 16S ribosomal RNA
Rfam family: Bacterial small subunit ribosomal RNA
Source: RNAcentral